UACGUAGGUGGCAAGCGUUGUCCGGAUUUAUUGGGCGUACAGGGCGCGCAGGCGGUUCGUUAGGUUCGAGGUGAAAUCUCUUGGCUCAACUGGGAGAGGUCUUCGGAUACCGGCGGACUUGAGGAGAGCAGAGGUGAGUGGAAUUCUGGGUGUAGUGGUGAAAUGCGUAGAUAUCCAGAGGAACACCAGUGGCGAAGGCGACUCACUGGGCUCCACCUGACGCUGAGGCGCGAAAGCUAGGGUAGCAAACGGG
This 253-nucleotide ribosomal RNA is filed under the name uncultured bacterium. RNAcentral describes it as "partial 16S ribosomal RNA". It matches the Rfam family "Bacterial small subunit ribosomal RNA", at positions 524 to 776 of the family's 1533-position model. The record is from RNAcentral.